RNAcentral lists this ribosomal RNA (254 nucleotides) under uncultured bacterium. RNAcentral's name for it is "partial 16S ribosomal RNA". It matches the Rfam family "Bacterial small subunit ribosomal RNA", at positions 524 to 776 of the family's 1533-position model. The record is from RNAcentral.
UACGUAGGGUGCGAGCGUUGUCCGGAAUUAUUGGGCGUAAAGAGCUCGUAGGCGGUCUGUCGCGUCGAUCGUGAAAACUUGGGGCUUAACCCUGAGCUUGCGGUCGAUACGGGCAUGACUGGAGUUCGGCAGGGGAGACUGGAAUUCCUGGUGUAGCGGUGAAAUGCGUAGAUAUCUGGAGGAACACCGGUGGCGAAGGCGGCAUCCUGGACCGGCAUUGACGCUGAGGCGCGAAAGCUAGGGGAGCAAACGGG